AGAUAAUGAAGAUGAAGAAUCAGAAGAUGAUGAUAAUGAAGAAUCAAAAGAUGAUGAAGAUGAAGAUGAAGAAGAUAAUGAAGAGAAACUGGACAUCAUGGAUGAAGAAAAAGAUGAUGAAGAAUUAGAAGACUAGAAAAUGUAAAGAAUACUUGGAAAGAAACAACAACAAGAUGCAUGGGAGAGUAAUUCCAGUAAAAAAAAAAAGUCUAGCUAGCUAGCCAUUAAUGAAUGGGGGGAAGAUCAGAGCUUAAUUUACAACACAUUAUUAAUUGUCGAUCUCUUUCCAAAGGAUUGGCAAGAAGAGAAACCAGUAUAUAUUUAAAAGCAUUCUGAAGUAACACUAUUCCUUCUCAAAUUAUAUAUCUUGUUACUAUUAUAUAUAUAUUUAAUUGAUCAAGUAACACAAUUUCUGUUUUAUCAUCGUUUGUGAUCACUCAACAGGUGCAAACUCAGAUUAUCAAGACCGAUCUAAACAACAACAACAAGAUGCAUGGGAAGGGUAAUUCCAGUAGAAGAAAGUCUAGCUAGCUAGCCAUUAAUGAAUGGGGGGGG
Impatiens glandulifera is the source of this 555-nucleotide long non-coding RNA. RefSeq lists it as uncharacterized. The transcript is spliced from 5 exons. Lineage: Eukaryota; Viridiplantae; Streptophyta; Magnoliopsida; Ericales; Balsaminaceae. The record is from RefSeq and is a predicted model, not a curated record.